Small nucleolar RNA from Dendrobium catenatum, 107 nucleotides. NCBI's taxonomy places the organism in Eukaryota, Viridiplantae, Streptophyta, Magnoliopsida, Asparagales, Orchidaceae. The record is from RefSeq and is a predicted model, not a curated record.
AAAUCAUGAUGAAAGUAUUUUCUAAGCAUUUCCUUUAAUCUUUCACAACUCUCUUGAAUGAAUUAUCCUUCAAACUGUGUAAAAGAAGUUAUUUCAUUUCUAUGUUU